Molecule: long non-coding RNA, 1023 nt
Filed under: Macaca fascicularis (crab-eating macaque)
Lineage: Eukaryota; Metazoa; Chordata; Mammalia; Primates; Cercopithecidae
Description: lncRNA (ENSMFAG00000053427.1)
Source: RNAcentral
GGGUAACAAGGUGUGGGUGAGCUAUAUUAUCAUAUGUUUAUUAAAUUGGUGGUGGCAAGGAUCUAACCACAGCCAUAUCAUGUGCUUUUAUUUUUCCUACCUAAGGUGUACAUACUUUGCAAGAUCUAUCUUUUCCAAUGAUUCUAUGUCUUAUCAAAUACUUGAUAUAAGGCGUUCCCCAAAUAGGAGGCUCUUUGUACGUGUCAUUCACGUUAGAGCGCAUCACGUUUCCUAACAAAAGAGAUUACGUAGCACCACCAAAUAUUGGAACCUAAAAGGAACUUGGAGCUUACUGCUCAACCCCCUGCCUUCUCACAGGGCAGCUGGUGAGUACCACCCUGAAGACAGACAAAGCUGCAGUCGUUGUGAACCCUGCCCCUUCCAUGGUGUUCUCCCAGGAUAUCCUAUUCAUAGGGUUACACACUUGGAACUCGGUCUGUUUGGAUAAGGGAAACAUCUCCCUUACUUAUUAGUGAUCCUAAAUAUUGUUAACAUGACUCCCUAUACUCCCUUAAGCAGAGAAGUUGAGAGAGACAUUAUAAUGUGCCUAGAGGCAUCUGUUAAAGCAAAGGACCUGCUGUCAGUAGAAAAUGAGAAUCCCUACGACCUUCCCAAACAGAAAGCUGUCCAGUCCCCUCUGGUUAAUGUGAAAUUUAAUUAAUAUCACUGUAUCUAGCAAAAAAAAAAAGCACUAUUUUUCCUCUGCCUAGAGUUAGAAUAUUUAUAAUAGGCCCUUUUUUUUUUCCUAAAGGAUCAACAAGACUUUCCAAAGAGUAAAACACAAAUCCAUAUUCAAUUUUCUUCCAAUUAUGGAGAAAUAAACCAACUUCAGGUCUUCCUUAUGUAGGUACUAACUGUGAGUUCGAUGCCUUUUUAAUCUCAUGAGAAAAUAGCUAAAGAUCACCUUCCUCUGCAGAGGCAGGAACUACAUAUGCCUAAAAAGGGAAUCUUUGAAAAUUCUUAAAUUAAUUCUCGUGCCGUUUUCCCUAUUCUAUUUCAAAUCAAUUUCCUAUUUUCUCACAC